CUACGGGAUGCUCCAGGCGCGAAACCUUUACAAUGUACGUAAGUGCGAUAAGGGAACUCCCAGUGCUCAUGUAAUGCAUGGGCUUUUGUUAAGUGUAAAUAGCUUGGCGAAUAAGUGGUGGGUAAGACGGGUGCCAGCCGCCGCGGUAACACCUGCGCCACGAGUGGCAUUCACGUUUACUGGGCCUAAGCGUUCGUAGCCGGAUAGAUAAGUCUUAAGUGAAAUCGUUGCGCUUAACAAAACGACGUGCUUGAGAUACUGUUUAUCUAGGGACCGGGAGGAGUUAGGGGUAUUCCAGAGGGAGCGGUAAAAUGCUGUAAUCUCUGGAGGACCACCUGUGGCGAAGGCGCCUAACUAGAACGGGUCCGACGGUGAGGAACGAAAGCCAGGGGAGCAAAACGGAUUAGAUACCCGGGUAGUC
Molecule: ribosomal RNA, 421 nt
Filed under: uncultured archaeon
Lineage: Archaea
Description: partial 16S ribosomal RNA
Rfam family: Archaeal small subunit ribosomal RNA
Source: RNAcentral